AUACAGAAAACAAUUCCAGCCAAUCAGCAGCAGACCCUCCCUCCCAGACCCUCCCACCUCCUGGACAGCAUCCAUUUUGAAGCUGCAUUCUUAGUGAGCUGUCCAGGAGGUGGGAGGGUCUGGGAGGGAGGGUCUGCUGCUGAUUGGCUGGAAUGUGUCUGCUG
Molecule: microRNA precursor, 164 nt
Filed under: Pelobates cultripes (western spadefoot toad)
Lineage: Eukaryota; Metazoa; Chordata; Amphibia; Anura; Pelobatidae
Source: RNAcentral